GUGCCAGCAGCCGCGGUAAUACGGAGGAUCCAAGCGUUAUCCGGAAUCAUUGGGUUUAAAGGGUCCGUAGGCGGUUUUGUAAGUCAGUGGUGAAAUCCGGCAGCUCAACUGUCGCACUGCCAUUGAUACUGCAGGACUUGAAUUAUUGUGAAGUAACUAGAAUAUGUAGUGUAGCGGUGAAAUGCUUAGAUAUUACAUGGAAUACCCAUUGCGAAGGCAGGUUACUAACAAUAUAUUGACGCUGAUGGACGAAAGCGUGGGGAGCGAACAGGAUUAGAUACCCCCGUAGUCC
Molecule: ribosomal RNA, 292 nt
Filed under: uncultured bacterium
Lineage: Bacteria
Description: partial 16S ribosomal RNA
Rfam family: Bacterial small subunit ribosomal RNA
Source: RNAcentral